ACUGCAGUGGAACGCAAUUGAUUCUCCCGUAGCUUGCUACAUUUGAAUUGAUUGAGUCGCGAACGGGUGAGUAACGCGUAGGUAACCUACCUUAUAGCGGGGGAUAACUAUUGGAAACGAUAGCUAAUACCGCAUAAGAGUUGACAACACAUGUUGUUAAUUUAAAAGGAGCAAUUGCUUCACUAUGAGAUGGACCUGCGUUGUAUUAGCUAGUUGGUAAGGUAACGGCUUACCAAGGCCUCGAUACAUAGCCGACCUGAGAGGGUGAUCGGCCACACUGGGACUGAGACACGGCCCAGACUCCUACGGGAGGCAGCAGUAGGGAAUCUUCGGCAAUGGGGGGAACCCUGACCGAGCAACGCCGCGUGAGUGAAGAAGGUUUUCGGAUCGUAAAGCUCUGUUAUAAGCGAAGAACGGGAGUAAGAGUGGAAAAUUUACUCUGUGACGGUAGCUUAUCAGAAAGGGACGGCUAACUACGUGCCAGCAGCCGCGGUAAUACGUAGGUCCCGAGCGUUGUCCGGAUUUAUUGGGCGUAAAGCGAGCGCAGGUGGUUUAAUAAGUCUGAAGUUAAAGGCAUUGGCUCAACCAAUGUACGCUUUGGAAACUGUUAAACUUGAGUGCAGAAGGGGAGAGUGGAAUUCCAUGUGUAGCGGUGAAAUGCGUAGAUAUAUGGAGGAACACCGGUGGCGAAAGCGGCUCUCUGGUCUGUAACUGACACUGAGGCUCGAAAGCGUGGGUAGCGAACA
Molecule: ribosomal RNA, 746 nt
Filed under: Streptococcus pluranimalium
Lineage: Bacteria; Bacillati; Bacillota; Bacilli; Lactobacillales; Streptococcaceae
Description: bacterial SSU rRNA
Rfam family: Bacterial small subunit ribosomal RNA
Source: RNAcentral